RNAcentral lists this ribosomal RNA (626 nucleotides) under Acinetobacter sp. Muzt-J21. RNAcentral describes it as "bacterial SSU rRNA". It matches the Rfam family "Bacterial small subunit ribosomal RNA", at positions 50 to 670 of the family's 1533-position model. The record is from RNAcentral. Lineage: Bacteria; Pseudomonadati; Pseudomonadota; Gammaproteobacteria; Moraxellales; Moraxellaceae.
AACACAUGCAAGUCGAGCGGGGAAGAGUAGCUUGCUACUUAACCUAGCGGCGGACGGGUGAGUAAUGCUUAGGAAUCUGCCUAUUAGUGGGGGACAACAUCUCGAAAGGGAUGCUAAUACCGCAUACGUCCUACGGGAGAAAGCAGGGGACCUUCGGGCCUUGCGCUAAUAGAUGAGCCUAAGUCGGAUUAGCUAGUUGGUGGGGUAAAGGCCUACCAAGGCGACGAUCUGUAGCGGGUCUGAGAGGAUGAUCCGCCACACUGGGACUGAGACACGGCCCAGACUCCUACGGGAGGCAGCAGUGGGGAAUAUUGGACAAUGGGGGGAACCCUGAUCCAGCCAUGCCGCGUGUGUGAAGAAGGCCUUUUGGUUGUAAAGCACUUUAAGCGAGGAGGAGGCUACCGAGAUUAAUACUCUUGGAUAGUGGACGUUACUCGCAGAAUAAGCACCGGCUAACUCUGUGCCAGCAGCCGCGGUAAUACAGAGGGUGCAAGCGUUAAUCGGAUUUACUGGGCGUAAAGCGCGCGUAGGUGGCCAAUUAAGUCAAAUGUGAAAUCCCCGAGCUUAACUUGGGAAUUGCAUUCGAUACUGGUUGGCUAGAGUAUGGGAGAGGAUGGUAGAAUCCC